This 62-nucleotide transfer RNA is filed under the name Pheretima okutamaensis. RNAcentral describes it as "tRNA-Trp". The record is from RNAcentral. Lineage: Eukaryota; Metazoa; Annelida; Clitellata; Crassiclitellata; Megascolecidae.
AAGACUUUAAGUUAACUAAACUAAAAACCUUCAAAGUUUUCAAUAGAGCAUUCUAAGUCUUG